This 432-nucleotide ribosomal RNA is filed under the name uncultured bacterium. RNAcentral describes it as "partial 16S ribosomal RNA". It matches the Rfam family "Bacterial small subunit ribosomal RNA", at positions 29 to 506 of the family's 1533-position model. The record is from RNAcentral.
AACGAACGCUGGCGGCAUGCCUAACACAUGCAAGUCGAACGAGACCUUCGGGUCUAGUGGCGCACGGGUGCGUAACGCGUGGGAACCUGCCCUUAGGUUCGGAAUAACUCCCCGAAAGGGGUGCUAAUACCGGAUAAUGUCUUCGGACCAAAGAUUUAUCGCCUUUGGAUGGGCCCGCGUUGGAUUAGCUAGUUGGUAGGGUAAAAGCCUACCAAGGCGACGAUCCAUAGCUGGUCUGAGAGGAUGAUCAGCCACACUGGGACUGAGACACGGCCCAGACUCCUACGGGAGGCAGCAGGGGGGAAUAUGGGAAAAGGGGCGAAAGCCUAACCCAGCAAUGCCGCGGGAGUGAUGAAGGCCUUAGGGUUGUAAAGCUCUUUUCCCCGGGAUGAUAAUGACAGUACCGGGAGAAUAAGCUCCGGCUAACUCCGU